RNAcentral lists this ribosomal RNA (483 nucleotides) under uncultured bacterium. RNAcentral describes it as "partial 16S ribosomal RNA". It matches the Rfam family "Bacterial small subunit ribosomal RNA", at positions 28 to 507 of the family's 1533-position model. The record is from RNAcentral.
GACGAACGCUGGCGGCGUGCUUAACACAUGCAAGUCGAACGCUGAAGCUCAGCUUUUGUUGGUUGGAUGAGUGGCGCACGGGUGAGUAACACGUGAGUAACCUGCCUCCUUCUUUGGGAUAACGCCCGGAAACGGGUGCUAAUACUGGAUAUUCACUUGUCUUCGCCUUGGGGUUGGUGGAAAGGGUUUUUCUGGUGGUGGUUGGGCUCGCGGCCUAUCAGCUUGUUGUUGUGGUGAUGGCCUACCAAGGCUUUGACGGGUAGCCGGCCUGAGCGGGUGACCGGGCACAGUGGGACGGAGAUACGGCCCAGAGUAGUACGGGAGGGAGCAGUGGGGAAAAUUGCACAAUGGGCGCAAGCCUGAUGCAGCGACGCUGCGGGAGGGAUGGAGGCCUUCGGGUUGUGAACCUCUUGCGCUAAUGGUCAAGCCGCAACAAUGGUUGUGGUGAGGGUAGUGGGUAAAGAAGCGCCGGCUAACUACGUG